CUUUCGCAAGGGUAUUGGGUAUACAACAUUAUCUGGUCUUGCCAAUCAAUACCGGACAUGAUAGCAGUUAUCGAUUAACACCGAUAAACCCUGAAUUUCAAAAAGAAUUAAAUUCCAUAUAAAUUAUCAUUCAUUAAACAUAAACUAAGGAGUGUUGUAAGCAACCAAACGGAAUAAAUUGAGCCAACGUAUGGAAAAUUUAGAAACUCAAAAUCUCAGUAACACAACCUUACAAACUAAUAAUAACGAAAAUAAUACAUACUUCAAAUCUUUUAUACCUGGCUUACCUAUGAACACUACGAUUAGAUUUAAAUGCAUUCAAUCAGAAAUUAUCUAAAGAUGAAAUAUUUUGUAAUGAUAUGAGUAUAGAUUAAAUAUUAAUCAACUAACAUAAUAUUAUACAUGGGAGAAAAAAACUUUAAGGCAAUAAAAGAAUAAUGAUUAAGCUUUUUCCGAUGAACUGUCAACAAUUUUUUCAUAUUCUGGUAAAAAGAGGAAAAUCCAAAUUUUCAGACCAAAUGAUUUGUACGAUUAUUUUUGAUGCUGUAAAAAAAAUCAAUUAAAGUUCCAAAAUGUUACUCAGAAUGAAAUGGGAGAAGUAGUUUAGUAUGUCUUUGCCCAAGCUUUAUUCAACAUCAAACGUCUUCAACUAUUAAAUAAUAAUCAUGUAACAUCUACCUUAUUAUUUAUUAAGUCAAAUAAUAUUAUGUAUUAAAAACUUUUUUUUUAAUAUUUUAUUAGAUACCAAAUUAUGUUAUAUUUUAAAUAUUGUCCAUUAGAUAUUUAAUUCAAAAUGUUAAAGAGUUCAAUCAAUGAUUGCUAUUCAUUGUAUAAAUAUUUAAAAACAUGUACCU
Aphis gossypii (cotton aphid) is the source of this 854-nucleotide long non-coding RNA. RefSeq lists it as uncharacterized. The record is from RefSeq and is a predicted model, not a curated record. The transcript has 4 exons. Lineage: Eukaryota; Metazoa; Arthropoda; Insecta; Hemiptera; Aphididae.